CUCAAAUUGUGGAAAACUCUCAACACGUCUGUAACAGUCUUGGUUGAUGUCCUUCGUCUUCACCCCUCUACUCUGACGUUUCAACUUUAAAGCCUUCCCUCACGCCUCACGGUUUCACACCCCACAAGCAAAGCCAGAUCCCAAUUUCAUGCACUGAUAAGGAGACAGAAGCAGAGGUGAAAAUGAGGGCAUAUCGGCUUUCAUAUCUGAGACACUGACACCUCUCGUAGUUAACUGAGGGCCAACUGACAGCCUGCCUUCUCCUCAUGCC
This is a long non-coding RNA of Neltuma alba, 271 nucleotides long. RefSeq lists it as uncharacterized. NCBI's taxonomy places the organism in Eukaryota, Viridiplantae, Streptophyta, Magnoliopsida, Fabales, Fabaceae. The record is from RefSeq and is a predicted model, not a curated record. The transcript has 3 exons.